RNAcentral lists this ribosomal RNA (1086 nucleotides) under Triticum aestivum (bread wheat). Its description in RNAcentral is "partial small subunit ribosomal RNA". The record is from RNAcentral. Lineage: Eukaryota; Viridiplantae; Streptophyta; Magnoliopsida; Poales; Poaceae.
AUGGACGAGCGCGAGCGUCCAUUGGCUACCGCCACGAGCAGGGCACCGGAUGGUCGUCGCGCCAUCUGGAAGAUCAUAUGGGGGUGCCCUGCUCCCCCUAAGGUACGCGUCUUCGCAUGGAGAGUUGUGACUAAUUCACUUGCUACAUGGGCCAACAAAUUUUCUCGCCACCUCGAGCUUACUGACUUAUGUCCCCUCUGUGGCAUGGAACGAGAGGACGGAUUCCACGCAUUCUGCAGGUGCCCACUAGCUAGCGAGCUAUGGCGUGCCAUGGCGGUGGACUGGAACAUCCCCAAGCUGGAGUCCAUCAGCAACCCCGGACCGGAGUGGCUCUUCACACUGUUGGAACCCCUAGAUGACACGACAAGGAUGGUGGUGCUUAUGACCAUGUGGCGGAGUUGGCAUGUGCGCAACGAGAUUACACAUGACAAAAUGCCUCCUCCGACUGAAGCCUCCCGACGCUUCCUCCACCGGUAUAUUACUUCGCUCCUGUGUAUUAAUCAACACCCUUCGGGAGACCAUGUGAAAGGGAAGAUGGUGGUCGUUGCUUCACCACCAGCAGCUCGGGUCAUCUCUGGCCCCAAGAUGCAGCCGAGAUGGGUCCCCCCUGACACGGGCUGGACCAAGCUAAACACGGAUGGCAGCUUUAUUACUUCUACGGGUACGGCUGGAGGAGGUAUGAUUCUCCGAGAUGAUAGAGGUGAGAUCAUCUAUAGUGCAUGUAGAGAACUCCGUGCAUGUGAGAGUGCCUUGGAGGCGGAGCUAGCAGCGUGUCGAGAAGGACUGGAGUUGGCCUUGCACCGGACGAACCUUCCAAUUAUAGUUGAGCUAGACAGUGCGGAGGCGGUGACGUUGCUCACAACACGCACGAGAGAUAGAUCGAGGCACCACAUUCUCAUAGAGGAGAUCCGAAGAUUAGCUGAUACCGAUGAUAGAGAGAUUUUAUUUGCUCGCUGUAGCCGCUCACAGAAUAAUAUUAGUCAUGAGUUGGCCGCUUACGGUCGUCGCACCCCUCGUACUGCGGUGUGGCUUUCUGCUGGGUUGGACUCUGUUGUAAACUUGGCUAUGGCUGAGAAGCCUCCUUGA